UACCGAGUGCGGGCCCUCGUGGCCCAACCUCCCACCCUUGUCUCUAUACACCUGUUGCUUUGGCGGGCCCACCGGGGCCACCUGGUCGCCGGGGGACAUCUGUCCCCGGGCCCGCGCCCGCCGAAGCGCUCUGUGAACCCUGAUGAAGAUGGGCUGUCUGAGUACUAUGAAAAUUGUCAAAACUUUCAACAAUGGAUCUCUUGGUUCCGGCAUCGAUGAAGAACGCAGCGAAAUGCGAUAAGUAAUGUGAAUUGCAGAAUUCCGUGAAUCAUCGAAUCUUUGAACGCACAUUGCGCCCCCUGGCAUUCCGGGGGGCAUGCCUGUCCGAGCGUCAUUUCUGCCCUCAAGCACGGCUUGUGUGUUGGGUGCGGUCCCCCCGGGGACCUGCCCGAAAGGCAGCGGCGACGUCCGUCUGGUCCUCGAGCGUAUGGGGCUUUGUCACUCGCUCGGGAAGGACUGGCGGGGGUUGGUCACCACCAAAAUUUUACCACGGUUGACCUCGGAUCAGGUAGGAGUACCCG
RNAcentral lists this ribosomal RNA (521 nucleotides) under fungal isolate from Newtonia buchananii wood. Its description in RNAcentral is "eukaryotic LSU rRNA". The stretch from base 181 to 334 matches the Rfam family "5.8S ribosomal RNA". Lineage: Eukaryota; Fungi. The record is from RNAcentral.